Molecule: small nucleolar RNA, 138 nt
Organism: Ornithorhynchus anatinus (platypus)
Lineage: Eukaryota; Metazoa; Chordata; Mammalia; Monotremata; Ornithorhynchidae
Source: RefSeq, a predicted model, not a curated record
UCCCUCCCAGGGUCGCCCCUGGAGAAUUUCCAGUAUUCUACCAGUCUUGACUAUGGGAGGGAGAGUUAAGCAGAGGUAUACUCAUUCUAUUCCUAGCUUGGGCAAGGGCUAGCUAGUGGAAGGCAGUCUACUAAAAGU